RNAcentral lists this ribosomal RNA (593 nucleotides) under [Candida] sp. YS27. RNAcentral's name for it is "eukaryotic LSU rRNA". It matches the Rfam family "Eukaryotic large subunit ribosomal RNA", at positions 62 to 668 of the family's 3401-position model. Lineage: Eukaryota; Fungi; Ascomycota; Saccharomycetes; Saccharomycetales. The record is from RNAcentral.
AAACCAACAGGGAUUGCCUUAGUAGCGGCGAGUGAAGCGGCAAAAGCUCAAAUUUGAAAUCUGGCUCUUUCAGUGUCCGAGUUGUAAUUUGAAGAAGGUAUCUUUGGGUCUGGCGCUUGUCUAUGUUUCUUGGAACAGAACGUCACAGAGGGUGAGAAUCCCGUGCGAUGAGAUGAUCCAGACCUAUGUAAAGUUCCUUCGAAGAGUCGAGUUGUUUGGGAAUGCAGCUCUAAGUGGGUGGUAAAUUCCAUCUAAAGCUAAAUAUUGGCGAGAGACCGAUAGCGAACAAGUACAGUGAUGGAAAGAUGAAAAGAACUUUGAAAAGAGAGUGAAAAAGUACGUGAAAUUGUUGAAAGGGAAGGGCUUGAGAUCAGACUUGGUAUUUUGUAUGUUACUUCUUCGGGGGUGGCCUCUGCAGUUUAUCGGGCCAGCAUCAGUUUGGAGCGGUAGGACAAUUGCGGUGGAAUGUGGCACAGCCUCGGUUGUGUGUUAUAGCCACUGUCGAUACUGCCAGCCUAGACUGAGGACUGCGGUUUUAUUACCUAGGAUGUUGGCAUAAUGAUCUUAAGUCGCCCGUCUUGAAACACGGACCC